Non-coding RNA from Schistosoma mansoni, 45 nucleotides. NCBI's taxonomy places the organism in Eukaryota, Metazoa, Platyhelminthes, Trematoda, Strigeidida, Schistosomatidae. The record is from Rfam.
AUCCAGUUGACGAGUCUCAAAUAGGACGAAAUGCGCAUCCUGGAU